AGUGGUCGGAACCAGAAGGGAGCAGGCACAACUGCCGGUGAGGAGGUGGAGCAAAUAAACAGCUACCUCUCCCGUUGUGCCCUGACAACAAAGUACAUGUCAAAAGCAGCACGUGUGGACAUGCUCACUGUGCAUGCAAUGGGUUGGAACCAUCACAAAGCAGAGACGCUACACAAGGCCCUCUCCACAAGAUAUGUGAAGACAUCUAAAAGGGCAGAAGAAGAGGCAGAGAGGCUGUCACAACUGCAGAAGGACCUGCAGUGCUCAAAUGCAAUGGCUGUACAGUGGAUUGCUGAAGUCAAGGAAUGGGCAGAGAGCGAGACCCCAGUAACGGGUCUGCACGUUCUCCAGCAGUCCAUUGAGGGUCUCCAUCUGGGUCUAAAGCAACAGAAACAAACCCUCUACCGUCAGAAUGACAGCAACAAGCUUCGCCAUCGUCUCCGAAGAAAGUUGACGGAAGACAAAAAGCGCCUUCUCCAGGAGAUUGAUAAAUACAACAGUCUUGUUGCAGACCUCUCCAAAGGAUUGAUGUGGCCUU
This is a long non-coding RNA of Gadus chalcogrammus (walleye pollock), 538 nucleotides long. RefSeq lists it as uncharacterized. Lineage: Eukaryota; Metazoa; Chordata; Actinopteri; Gadiformes; Gadidae. The record is from RefSeq and is a predicted model, not a curated record. The transcript has 5 exons.